Molecule: long non-coding RNA, 2819 nt
Filed under: Fragaria vesca (wild strawberry)
Lineage: Eukaryota; Viridiplantae; Streptophyta; Magnoliopsida; Rosales; Rosaceae
Description: long non-coding RNA (FVES_LNC001809)
Source: RNAcentral
ACAGUACGAGUAGACCAACUCUAAAGUGUCCAGAAUUCACAGACACUUAAACAAUUUUUGAUAGGUCUACCUGUUUAUGAAGCCUGUUCUACUUAUUUACGUGUACGGGUCUCCUUUUUUUUUAAACUAAAAUGGUCUACCUGUUUACGAACACAAACGUACCUGUUUUGUGAAUGUGGUGUACCAGCGUUUCGAACCACAGACUCACAGUACGAGUAGACUAACUCUAAAGUGUCCAGAAUUUACAGACACUUAAACAAUUUUUGAUAGGUCUACCUGUUUAUAAACAAUGUUCUGCUUAUUUACGAGUACGGGUCUCUUUUUUUAUGUGAGACAAAAUGGUCUACUUGUUUACGAACACUAACCUAUCUAUUUUGUGAACGUGGUGUAUCAGCGCUUCGAACCAUUAACUCACACUACGUGUAGACCAACUCUAAAGUGUCCAGAAUUCACACACUUGCAGAAUUAUUGAUAGGUCCACCUGUUUAAGAAGUCUGGUCUAUUUAUUUAUGAGUACGGGUCUACUUUUUUUGUGAGACAAAAUGGUCUACCUGUUUACGAACAGUAACCUACCUGUUCUGUGAACGUGGCGUAACAGUUCUUCGAACCACUGACUCAAACUACAACUAGACCAAGAAUAAAGUGUUCAGAAUUCACAGACACUUGAAUAAUUCUUGAGAGGUCUACCUGUUUACGAAGCCUGGUCUGCUUAUUUACUAGUACGGGUCUACUUUUUUUGUGAGACAAAAUGGUUUACCUGUUUACGAACACUAACAUAUCUGUUUUGUGAACGUGGUGUACCAGCGCUACAAACCACUGACUAACACUACGAGUAGACCAACUCUAAAGUGUCCAGAAUUCAUAGACACUUGAAGAAUUCUUGAUAGGUCUACCUGUUUACCAUGCCUGGUCUACUUAUUUACGAGUACGAGUCUCAUUUUUUAUGUGAGAAAAAUGGUCUACCUGUUUACGAACACUAACCUACCUGCUUUGUGAACGUGGUGUACCACUUCUUCGUACCUACGAGUAGACCAAGAAUAUAGUGUCCAAGAUUCACAGACACUUGAAGAAUUCUUGAGAGGUCUACCCGUUUUUGAAGCUUGGUCUGCUUCUUUACGAGUACGGGUCUCCUUUUUUUUGUGAGACAAAAUGGUCUACCUUUUUACAAACACUAACCUACCUGUUUUGUUGACGUGGUGUAGCAGCGCUUCGAACCACUGACUCACACUACGAGUAGACCAACUCUAAAGUGUCCAGAAUUCACAGACACUUAAACAAUUUUUGAUAGGUCUACCUGUUUAGGAAGCCUGUUCUACUUAUUUACGUGUACGGGUCUCCGUUAUUUUUUUGAGACAAAAUGGUCUACUUGUUUACGAACACUAACCUACCUGUUUGGUGAACGUGGUAUACCAGUUCUUCGUACCUCUGACUCACACUACGAGUAGACCAAAAAUAAAGUGUCCAGAAUUCAUAGACACUUGAAGAAUUCUUGAGAGGUCUACCUGUUUACGAAGUCUGGUCUGCUUAUUUACGAGUACGGGUUACCUUUUGUUAGUGAGACAAAAUUGUCUACUUGUUUACAAACACUAACCUACCUGUUUUGUGAACGUGGUGUAUCAGCGACACUAACCUAGUAGACCAAGAAUAAAGUGUCCAAAAUUCAACGACAUUUAAAGAAUUCUUGAUAGGUCUACCUGUUUACGAAGCCUAGUCUGGUUAUUUAUGAGUAAGUGUCUAUUUUUUUGUGAGACAACAUAGUCUACCUGUUUAUGAACACAAACCUAUUUGUUUUGUGAACAUGGUGUACCAGCGCUUCGAACCACUGACUCACAGUACGAGUAGACCAACUCUAAAGUGUCCAGAAUUCAAAGACACUUAAAGAAUUCUUGAUAGGUCUACCUGUUUACCAUGCCUGGUCUGCUUAUUUACGAGUACGGGUCAACUUUUUUUGUGAGCCAAAAUGGUCUACCUGUUUAUGAACACUAACCUACAUGUUUUGUGAACGUGGUGUAUCAACGCUUCGAACCACUGAUUCACACUAUGAAUAGACCAAGAAUAAAGUGUCCAGAAUUCAACGAUAUUUAAAGAAUUCUUGAUAGUUCUACCUGUUUACGAAGUCUAGUCUGGUUAUUUACGAGUACGGGUCUACUUUUUUUAUGAGACAAAAUGGUCUACCUGUUUAUGAACGUGAUGUACCAGCGCUUCGAACCACUGACUCACAGUAUGAGUAGACAAACUCUAAAGUGUCCAGAAUUCGAAGACACUUGAAGAAUUCUUGAUAGGUCUACCUGUUUACCAAUCCUGGUCUACCUAUUUACGAGUACGGGUCUACUUUUUUUGUGAGACAAAAUGGUCUACUUUGUUUACGAACACUAACCUACCUGUUUUGUGAACGUGGUGUACUAGCGCUUCGAAUCACUGACUCACACUACGAGUAGACCAACUCUAAAGUGUUCAGAAUUCACAGACACUUGAAGAAUUCUUUAGAGGUUUACCUGUUUACGAAGCCUGGUCUGCUUAUUUACGAGUACGGGUCUACUUUUUUUGUGAGACAAAAUGGUCUACCUGUUUAUGUACAUUAACCUACCAGUUUGGUAAACGUGGUGUACAAGGUUUACGAAUAUUAACCUACCUAUUUUGUUUGUUUACAUGGUGUACAUUAUCCUCCAUCAUACAUUCUGGAAAUCAAAACCAAGGCAAGGUAGAGGUCCUAACAGUUCCUAGUUGUUAAACGAAAAACAUAAUACACAUAAUAUCAUAUGGUGCUAUUUUUACAAACACAUGUGUCACACCCCAAUUUUGGUAAUUUUUUUUUUUGA